Long non-coding RNA from Lynx canadensis (Canada lynx), 1604 nucleotides. RefSeq lists it as uncharacterized. NCBI's taxonomy places the organism in Eukaryota, Metazoa, Chordata, Mammalia, Carnivora, Felidae. The record is from RefSeq and is a predicted model, not a curated record. The transcript is spliced from 7 exons.
GGGGGUGGGUAUUGACUUUCAGGAAGGGCAGCCAUGAGGCUGCAAGAGUCCGGUGCCCGGAUACACUGUGAAUUUUCCUGAUGCUCUGUAAGCGUGGAAUAUUCUUCUGUUCGCUGGAGCCCCUGACCCCUGGCCCUUCUAGAAGAUGAGAGAAGAGAGGAAAUCUCUUGUGAGGGCUUUUAGGGAGAAGAGGGUGAAGUUUUGGUUUUCCUUUCUGGCCUCAGGUUUUCCAAAGAGAGCCUGGCAACCCCCAGCGGCCCACUCCACCACCCUGAGUCCUGGCUCCCGGAGCUGUUUUGCUGCUGGAGCAAGCAAGCCCUGGAGAAACGUGGGUUUGUGUGUGUGCUGGGGGGGGCGGGAGCCUUGAGGAUGUGGGGACUGUGUCUGCUCUGCUGUUAGUCAUAGGAUGUUGCAGACCUAUUUUGCAUACUGGCGUUGACAAGUUGAGGCUUGUUCACUUGACACAGUCCUGUGGUCACAGCCAAUCUUUCUAAAACCCUAACCGGUGGAGAAGGUGGUUGUAUGGAUCUUCUGAACCCUGAGUGGAAACUUCCUGAAAGAUUUAUUAGGAGAGAAACCUUCCUGGAAGCAGCAGACGGACAAACAGAAUCCCUGGCUGGGCAGAGCCUCGUGGCCUGGUCUCUGCCGUUGGAAGGGAGUCGCGUCUUAGAGCCCUGAUCUUUGGACCAGAAAGGAAUUAAAAAGAUGCCCCUCACGGUGGCCAUGCCUGUCGGUUACAUGGAGCUCCAUUCAAGGAUUUUCGGAGCCUUUUGGAUUUACAGUGAUAUUCAGCUGCCUGGGGAAUAAAGUUGGUGGAAGCUUUCUCUGGAGUUACGUACACCCGACACCUGUCUGGAUGCUACUGGCGGUUUUAAGGAAGGCCCUGGCUGAGUGCCUGGCGGAUCCCUGCAGCCUGGAUGCCCGUGGGAGACGGAAGACCGCGGCUUCCUGUGAGGGCUGACGCCUCUGUCCUUCUCUCCUCACGGAUGCCUGGUUGGGUCUCUGCCAGCCCCGCCGGGGGCUCCCUGUGACACAAUCCUGUUCUACCUGAGAUUUUGGUGCCUUCAAUCUGAAAAAAAUACGUAUCCCUCUGGUACUCUAGAGGAACUUGAGAACAGUCCUUCUCUGAACUAAAGCCAGACCAUUGUGGGAUUUGGAGACUAAAGGACCUGAAAUCUGCCAGCACGUCUUGGAUGUCCAGCCGCCAGGACCGGGAGAGAUGAAUGUCUGUCAUCUAAGCCACCUGCUGUGGGUGGCAUCCUGUGAGAGCAGGCUGAGCAGACCGGGACGCCGUAUUUCACAGAUGAGUGGACUGCAGACUCAGAGAGGUGGUGUUGCCACAUUGGUUGGCAGGGGGUGGCGAUGAAUGGUGAGGUCCAAAAGUCCACGCGGGCAGAAAGCCGUGGCUGAGAACACUGGACUUUUCCCUGUGAGCAGUGUGGUCUCAUGAGCAGAAGUGAAGGUGGCAGUGGAGAGGAAAUGAGACAACGUGUGUGUGCCCUUCGGACCAGGAACGUCCAGGCCUGAGGGAGAGACCCAGGCCAGCAGAGCCACUGCUCUCCAGAUGAACUCUGCACGAGGCUUCCAGAGUGAGGCUAUGUUUU